This 478-nucleotide ribosomal RNA is filed under the name uncultured bacterium. RNAcentral describes it as "partial 16S ribosomal RNA". It matches the Rfam family "Bacterial small subunit ribosomal RNA", at positions 28 to 523 of the family's 1533-position model. The record is from RNAcentral.
GACGAACGCUGGCGGCGUGCUUAACACAUGCAAGUCGAACGGAAAGGCCCUUCGGGGUACUCGAGUGGCGAACGGGUGAGUAACACGUGGGUGAUCUGCCCUGCACUUUGGGAUAAGCCUGGGAAACUGGGUCUAAUACCGAAUAGGACCGCAUGCUUCAUGGUGUGUGGUGGAAAGCUUUUGCGGUGUGGGAUGGGCCCGCGGCCUAUCAGCUUGUUGGUGGGGUAAUAGCCUACCAAGGCGACGACGGGUAGCCGGCCUGAGAGGGUGACCGGCCACACUGGGACUGAGAUACGGCCCAGACUGCUACGGGAGGCAGCAGUUGGGAAUAUUUCACAAGGGGCGCAAGCCUGAUGCAGCGACGCCGCGAGGGGGAGGACGGCCUUCGGGUUGUAAACCUCUUUCAGCAGGGACGAAGCGCAAGUGACGGUACCUGCAGAAGAAGGACCGGCCAACUACGUGCCAGCCGCCGCCGUAA